Molecule: long non-coding RNA, 369 nt
Filed under: Salvia miltiorrhiza (redroot sage)
Lineage: Eukaryota; Viridiplantae; Streptophyta; Magnoliopsida; Lamiales; Lamiaceae
Description: long non-coding RNA (SMIL_LNC011307)
Source: RNAcentral
GACUUCGCGAGGAGGGGUAGGGGAAGAAACGGCUGAAGGGGAGUCAGGGGACUGAACGGCUGUGUUAGGGGCGUAGGGUAAUCAGGGUUUAGGUUUAGCUUAAUAUUAGACUUUGGGCCUUAUUGUCUGGGCCUAUUUUAAGAUAUAAAAUGCUAGCCCAUAAUCUCAAAAUAUAUAUUCAAAGCCCAUAUUUUAUAGAAUUUUUUGUGGAUAUUUGACGGGUAAUUGGCGGGUAUUUUUCGCGGGUAAACGGGUUUCGCGGGUAUGGAUAGUAAGUAUCCAAACCCAUACCCACGAACUAAAUGGAUAGUGAAUUGCAACCACGAAACUAUCCGUGGAUAUCAAAUGGUAUCCAAACCCACCCUAAUG